RNAcentral lists this ribosomal RNA (253 nucleotides) under uncultured bacterium. RNAcentral describes it as "partial 16S ribosomal RNA". It matches the Rfam family "Bacterial small subunit ribosomal RNA", at positions 524 to 776 of the family's 1533-position model. The record is from RNAcentral.
UACGUAGGUGGCAAGCGUUGUCCGGAUUUACUGGGCGUAAAGGGAGCGUAGGCGGAUGUUUAAGUGGGAUGUGAAAUACCCGGGCUCAACUUGGGUGCUGCAUUCCAAACUGGAUAUCUAGAGUGCAGGAGAGGAAAGGAGAAUUCCUAGUGUAGCGGUGAAAUGCGUAGAGAUUAGGAAGAAUACCAGUGGCGAAGGCGCCUUUCUGGACUGUAACUGACGCUGAGGCUCGAAAGCGUGGGGAGCAAACAGG